This is a non-coding RNA of Vicugna pacos (alpaca), 1458 nucleotides long. NCBI's taxonomy places the organism in Eukaryota, Metazoa, Chordata, Mammalia, Artiodactyla, Camelidae. The record is from RefSeq and is a predicted model, not a curated record.
UAUUUGAAGUAGCUAGGGAGCCCAGCAAUCGACAGACCCACGUGUUCUUUGAAUUUGUUUUUUUUUUUGUGUGUAGUUGAGGUAGAGGAAUCUAACUUCCUCCCCCUGCAUGAAAAUCGAAUUGUUUCAAAAUUUUCUACUGAAUGUUUCAUUCUUCCUUCACUAAUCUAAAAAUACUGUCUUUAUCUGGACUCUGUUCUAUUGAUCCAGUUAUCUUUUCCUAUACUGGUACCAGUACCACACUGCCUAAUUCCAGUUGCUCUGGAACAUACUGUAUAAAUGGUAGGGUAAGCUCCUGCUCUUUGAUUAUCUUUUUGAUACUAUUCUUGCACAGUUUCUCUACCAAAUGUCAACUAGCCAGGUUUUGUUGAAAAUUUAUCUUGGAUUUAAAUAGGACUGCAUUGAAUUUGUAGGUUAAUUUGAGGAGAAUUGAUAUCUUUACAACAUAUUAGGAACAUGGUAUCCCAUGCCAUGUAUACAUUUUUCACUUUAACGUCUUUCAGAAGAGUUUUAACGUUUUCAUCACAGAGAUCUUAUACAUUCUUGGUUAAGUUUAUCCCUAGGUACUUUAUGCAGUUUUAUUGAUACUGUAAAUGGGAUAUUUCUUCUAUUUGUUAGUUAUUUGUGUUACAUAGGAAAGUUUUUGAGGUUUAUAUGUUGAUCUCUUGAUUUUGUAUGUAGCCUAAUCUUCCUGAAUUCUCAUAUUGCUUCCAACCUAAAGGAUGUCCGUCAUUUCAUAUGCAGACGUGCUCGUUUCUUCCUUUCCAGUGUUUUUCUUACUGCAGUGAUGAGGACCUCCUCAAAAGUGACCAGUCGUGGCCAUAGGAUAGGCAUCCUACUCUUAUUCUUGGCUUUAAAACCAUGCUUAGGUUCCUGGUAGCCAUUUUUGUUUCCCUACUUCUAAGAAUUUUUAUUAGGAAUUAUCUGUUACCUAAAACAAUCAAUAAAAUGUAUUGCCAGCUGCACGCAAGAUCCUAAGUUGGGUACUGUGAAAGAGGCAAAAGGAUUAUUAAACAAGAUCGCAUUCCUUCCACAAAAAAGUCUUCAUCUCCCUGGAUAGAUAAGACUUAAAAUAAAAAGGAAUGAAUAAAAAUUUGGAGAUAGUCAUUGUGAUGAAUAAUUCUGAUCAUGUUUCUUCCAAAACAGAUUUAUUCUCACAGAACAGCAGCAAAGGGCCAUAAAAAAGCGUAAGGGGCUUCUUUCGAUUUGUGCUGCGUAGAAAAUGCCCAGAGGAAAGCAAGAGUCAGGACUUCUUCUGGAGGAUGCAGCCGCUCUGGCUCAGGGACUUGUACAGACCUCUCAGUGCCACACGCAAGAAAAAAAUGGCGCAGAAGCUACAUGAUGAGUCUUCUGAUGAGGAAGAGAUUUUCAGUAGGGUUGCGAGGGCACCCAGAGAUGGCGCAGCUGACGUGAUUCUGACCAUCGAGCCGGAAGAGCCGGAUGAGGAGAGUGACACGG